CCUACGGGAGGCAGCAGUAGGGAAUAUUGCUCAAUGGGCGAAAGCCUGAAGCAGCAACGCCGCGUGGAGGAUGACGGUUUUCGGAUUGUAAAAUCUUUUUGUUAGAGAAGAUAAUGACGGUACGUAACGAAUAAGCACCGUCUAAUUCCGUGCCAGCAGCCGCGGUAAUAUGGAGGGUGCAAGCGUUACUCGGAAUCACUGGGCGUAAAGAGCGCGUAGGCGGGAUAGCAAGUCAGAUGUGAAAGCCUAUGGCUUAACCUUAGAACUGCAUUUGAAACUGUUAGUCUAGAGUACGGGAGAGGUAGGUGGAAUUCUUGGUGUAGCGGUAAAAUGCGUAGAGAUCAAGAGGAAUACUGAUUGCGAAGGCGACCUGCUAGAACGUAACUGACGCUGAUGCGCGAAAGCGUGGGUAGCAAACAGGAUUAGAUACCCUUGUAGUC
RNAcentral lists this ribosomal RNA (440 nucleotides) under uncultured bacterium. RNAcentral describes it as "partial 16S ribosomal RNA". It matches the Rfam family "Bacterial small subunit ribosomal RNA", at positions 338 to 795 of the family's 1533-position model. The record is from RNAcentral.